CCAAAAUGUAGAUAGAUAUAGACAGGGUCUACAAUGGAUGUACAAAGGGUGUACAAAUGAUGUAUAAAGGGUGUACAAAGCGUGUAGAAAUAGUGUACAAAGGAUGUACAAAUAUAUAGAAAUAGUUAGAAAGGGUGUACCAAUGGUGUACAAAGGGUGUACAAUAGGUGUAUAAAGGGUGACAAAAGUAGUACAAUGGUUGUACAGAGGGUAUAAAAAGGUUGUACAAAGAAUGUAUAAGGGGUGUUCAAAGUGUGUACAAAGGCUUUAAAAAUGAUGAAGAAGGGGUUUACAAAGGGUUUAUAAAAGGUGUACAAAGGUAGUAGAAAAGUUGUACAAAGGAUGUACAAAGGGUUUACACAAGAUGUACAAAGGUUUUAGAAAAGGUGUACAAGGAUGUAAAUAGAUGUAGAAAGUGUAUACAAAGGGUUUACACAAAGAGUGUAGAAAUGAUGUACAAACGCUGUACCAAUGAUGUACAAAGGGUGUGUAAAAGGUGUAUAAAUGAUGUACGAAGGUUACACAAAGGCUGCACAAUAGGUGUAGAAAGGGUGUACAAAGGUUGCACAAUGGGUAUAGAAAGAGUGUAUAAAGGUGAAUAAAUGGUGUACAAAGCAUAAAAAAAGGGUGUACAACGGGUGUACAUAAGGUGUUCCAAAAUUUAGAUAGAUAUACAAAACGUGUACAAUGGGUGUAGAAAUGAUGUAUAAAGGAUGUAUAAAGGGUGUAUAAAAGGUGUAUAAAGGGUGUAUAUUGGGUGUACAAAGGGUGUACAUAAGGUGUACCAUAAUGUAAAUAGAUAUAGACAGGGUCUACAAUGGAUGUACCAAGGGUGUACAAAUGAUGUAUAAAGGGUGUACAAAGCGUGUAGAAAUAGUUUACAAAGGGUGUACAAAUAUAUAGAAAAAGUUAUAAAGGGUGUACCAAUGGUGUACAAAGGGUGUACAAUAAGGGUGUACAAAAGUAGUAUAAUGGUUGUACAGAGGGUAUAAAAAUGGUGUACAAAGACUGUAUAAGGGGUGUUCAAAGUGUGUACAAAGGCUUUAAAAAUGAUGUAGAAUGGGUUUACAAAGGGUUUAUAAAAGUUGUACAAAGGUAGAACCAAGGGUGUACGAAAGGUGUACAAAGGGUUUACACAAGAUGUACAAAGGGUUUACAAAAGUAGUACAAGGAUGUAAAUAGAUGUAGAAAGUGUGUACAAAGGGUUUACACAAAGAGUGUAGAAAUGAUGUACAAACGCUGUGCCAAUGAUGUACAAAGGGUGUGUAAAAGGUGUACAAAUGAUGUACGAAGGUUAUACAAAGGCUGCCCAAUAGGUGUAGAAAGGGUGUACAAUGGCUGCACAAUGGGUAUAGAAA
RNAcentral lists this long non-coding RNA (1358 nucleotides) under Vigna radiata. RNAcentral describes it as "long non-coding RNA (VRAD_LNC018272)". Lineage: Eukaryota; Viridiplantae; Streptophyta; Magnoliopsida; Fabales; Fabaceae. The record is from RNAcentral.